AUUGAACGCUGGCGGCAUGCCUUACACAUGCAAGUCGAACGGUAACGCGGGGGCAACCCUGGCGACGAGUGGCGAACGGGUGAGUAAUACAUCGGAACGUACCCAGUAGUGGGGGAUAGCUCGGCGAAAGCCGGAUUAAUACCGCAUACGACCUAUGGGUGAAAGCGGGGGAUCGCAAGACCUCGCGCUAUUGGAGCGGCCGAUGUCGGAUUAGCUAGUUGGUGAGGUAAAGGCNCACCAGGGCUACGAUCCGUAGCUGGUCUGAGAGGACGACCAGCCACACUGGGACUGAGACACGGCCCAGACUCCUACGGGAGGCAGCAGUGGGGAAUUUUGGACAAUGGGCGCAAGCCUGAUCCAGCCAUGCCGCGUGUGUGAAGAAGGCCU
RNAcentral lists this ribosomal RNA (387 nucleotides) under uncultured bacterium. RNAcentral's name for it is "bacterial SSU rRNA". It matches the Rfam family "Bacterial small subunit ribosomal RNA", at positions 29 to 417 of the family's 1533-position model. The record is from RNAcentral.